Molecule: ribosomal RNA, 254 nt
Filed under: uncultured bacterium
Lineage: Bacteria
Description: partial 16S ribosomal RNA
Rfam family: Bacterial small subunit ribosomal RNA
Source: RNAcentral
CACGUAGGGUGCGAGCGUUGUCCGGAAUUAUUGGGCGUAAAGCGCUCGUAGGCGGUGUGUCGCGUCGGCCGUGAAAACCUGCAGCUUAACUGUGGGCUUGCGGUCGAUACGGGCAUCACUGGAGUUCGGCAGGGGAGACUGGAAUUCCUGGUGUAGCGGCGAAAUGCGCAGAUAUCAGGAGGAACACCGGUGGCGAAGGCGGGUCUCUGGGCCGAUACUGACGCUGAGGAGCGAAAGCGUGGGGAGCAAACAGG